GACGAACGCUGGCGGCGUGCCUAAUACAUGCAAGUCGAACGCUUCUUUCCUCCCGAGUGCUUGCACUCAAUUGGAAAGAGGAGUGGCGGACGGGUGAGUAACACGUGGGUAACCUACCCAUCAGAGGGGGAUAACACUUGGAAACAGGUGCUAAUACCGCAUAACAGUUUAUGCCGCAUGGCAUAAGAGUGAAAGGCGCUUUCGGGUGUCGCUGAUGGAUGGACCCGCGGUGCAUUAGCUAGUUGGUGAGGUAACGGCUCACCAAGGCCACGAUGCAUAGCCGACCUGAGAGGGUGAUCGGCCACACUGGGACUGAGACACGGCCCAGACUCCUACGGGAGGCAGCAGUAGGGAAUCUUCUGCAAUGGACGAAAGUCUGACCGAGCAACGCCGCGUGAGUGAAGAAGGUUUUCGGAUCGUAAAACUCUGUUGUUAGAGAAGAACAAGGACGUUAGUAACUGAACGUCCCCUGACGGUAUCUAACCAGAAAGCCACGGCUAACUACGUG
This 508-nucleotide ribosomal RNA is filed under the name uncultured bacterium. RNAcentral's name for it is "partial 16S ribosomal RNA". It matches the Rfam family "Bacterial small subunit ribosomal RNA", at positions 28 to 507 of the family's 1533-position model. The record is from RNAcentral.